CUUUUUCUAGUGCUGAAUGAAAAGACUACAUUAGAUUCUUUACCUGAAAAUGACUCCCUAAAGAGCCAGAGUUAUUUAAUAAUUGUGGGCCCAGCAAAUCGUAAAAGUAAGGUCCUUGAAAUACAAAUAAACUAAAUCUACCCCCAAAAAUAUACUAAGAGGUCAGUAAAAGUCCCUCCAGGGACCUGUAUCGUAAGAAUCAUGUGCUCAACUCCAUAUAUAAAGUGAGGAAUUAAGAAGAGCUUUUCCAAUACAGUCUUUCUCCACUACUGCUUUAUAUUUAGAGAUAACAGAGGCGGUAUUUUAACAAGAUUACGGGAAAGUUUUACAUUUACUUUUAAAAAAUUCCUGUUAUUCCACAAUAUCACAGCCGUUUCCAUUUUUCAUCUACCGUUUGCAUAUUCGUUUUCUUAUGGUAAUCACAAAAACCUGUGAUUGUGCUGAUGCGAUCUGUUUAUUUCCACUUUAGGUAAACUUUUAAAGAUAACUGUUAUUUCGUGCUCUCUCUCGCGGGAACGCAGCUGAGGACACGAGGAGUAGCCAACCCCAAGAAAAGCUAUGAAUUAGCGAGAGAGGACAGGCAGGCAGGGAGAGAAGGUGAGGGCUGGCCGUACCGCGGCCUCGAGGCCCCGCCUCCCCGGGCCCCAGGCCCAGGCUCCGCCUCCCCGGGCCCCGCCCCGGCCCGCCGCCAUGUUGUUCCCUUGGUGCUGGACGUGAGUAGCUGGAGUUGGACCUGGGCAGAGCUACUACGGUCUCCUGUCUGCGGGUCCCCGACCUUCUCUCCUCGUUGCACCCCGACGGGCCAGCCGGGACCUCCCCGGGCGUCCUCUGUGUGGCCACGAGAUAAUGAUGCUACUUGAACCGAACAAUUAAGGGUUCUAAG
This is a long non-coding RNA of Ailuropoda melanoleuca (giant panda), 883 nucleotides long. The record is from Ensembl. Lineage: Eukaryota; Metazoa; Chordata; Mammalia; Carnivora; Ursidae.